Molecule: non-coding RNA, 148 nt
Filed under: Gorilla gorilla gorilla (western lowland gorilla)
Lineage: Eukaryota; Metazoa; Chordata; Mammalia; Primates; Hominidae
Source: Rfam by way of RNAcentral
GCCGGGCAUGGUGGCACAUGCCUGUAAUCCCAGCUACUAGGGAGGCUGAGGCAGGAGAAUCGCUUGAACCCAGGAGGCGGAGGUUGCAGUGAGCCAAGAUCGUGCCAUUGCACUCCAGCCUGGGUGAUGGAGCGAGACUCUGUCUCAA